GCGCAGCAGGCGCGAAACUUCACACUGUGCGAAAGCACGAUGAGGGAAUCCCAAGUGCUUGCACGUAAGUGUAAGCUGUUUCUCUGUCUAAAACGCAGAGAGAGUAAGGGCUGGGUAAGACGGGUGCCAGCCGCCGCGGUAAUACCUGCAGCUCAAGUGGUGACCGUUAUUAUUGGGGCCUAAAACGUCCGUAGCCGGUUUAAUAAAUGCCUGGGGUAAAUUGUGUAGCUUAACUAUACGAAUUCCGGGUAGACUGUUAAACUUGAGACCGGGAGAAGUUAGAGGUACUCCUGGGGUAGAGGUGAAAUUCUGUAAUCCUAGGGGGACCACCAGUGGCGAAGGCGUCUAACUAGAACGGGUCUGACGGUGAGGGACGAAGCCCUGGGGGCGCAAACGGGGAUUAGAUACCCGCGUAGU
This 417-nucleotide ribosomal RNA is filed under the name uncultured microorganism. RNAcentral describes it as "bacterial SSU rRNA". It matches the Rfam family "Archaeal small subunit ribosomal RNA", at positions 330 to 745 of the family's 1478-position model. The record is from RNAcentral.